GACGAACGCUGGCGGCGUGCCUAAUACAUGCAAGUUGAGCGCUGAAGGUUGGUACUUGUACCAACUGGAUGAGCAGCGCACGGGUGAGUAACGCGUGGGGAAUCUGCCUUUGAGCGGGGGACAACAUUUGGAAACGAAUGCUAAUACCGCAUAAAAACUUUAAACACAAGUUUUAAGUUUGAAAGAUGCAAUUGCAUCACUCAAAGAUGAUCCCUCGUUGUAUUAGCUAGUUGGUGAGGUAAAGGCUCACCAAGGCGAUGUUACAUAGCCGACCUGAGAGGGUGAUCGGCCACAUUGGGACUGAGACACGGCACAAACGCCUACGGGAGGCAGCAGGAGGGAAUCUUCGGCAAGGGACGAAAGACUGACCGAGCAACGCCGCGUGAGUGAAGAAGGUUUUCGGAUCGUAAAACUCGGUUGGUAGAGAAGAACGUUGGUGAGAGUGGAAAGCUCAUCAAGUGACGGUAACUACUCAGAAAGGGACGGCUAACUACGUG
Molecule: ribosomal RNA, 497 nt
Filed under: uncultured bacterium
Lineage: Bacteria
Description: partial 16S ribosomal RNA
Rfam family: Bacterial small subunit ribosomal RNA
Source: RNAcentral